CGCAUCUGACUGGCCGCGCGCACCUGUCCCCGGCCACGCCCUGUCCAGCGCGGGGCCGGGCCGAGGCUCCGCCUUUCUCGCGGCCCGUGACCACGCCUCCUCCCCGCUCUGCCCUCCCGCGCCUCGCGCCUGCACUUUCCCCGAGGCCGGGUCCCACUGACAGAGCGCCCCCCAACGUCUGCCGCCCCGGCCUGCUUUCUAGAGGAACAUCGCGAAGGACGUGGACGCACCCAGGAAAGCUGAGAUACCCUCGCGAUGGGACCUUGGUCUAGUUAGGUCUCUUUAGGGUUUGCGAAACAUUUUCACGUUGUAUUGUUCCUCCAUUUACAGAAAUAUUUGACUUUGUAGAGCACCACAUAUUUGCUAGAUCCUGUGCCCUGAGCGAUAGCGGGGUCAGUCAAAUAGACACGAGAUCUCCCGCCCUGAUGGAGCUUGUGUUCCCCCAACAAAACCGGCUGGAAAAUGUUUGGACUAGGCAGCGAGACACUACGAUACCCCCAGCAUUUGAAAGGCGUAGAAGCUUUCCAAAGGUUCCUUCACCAUGAAGAACAAGGUUGGAGCGGUACCCAGAUGCCUGUUUCUAAGUCCCUAUCCUCAGUGGCGGUCAGCCUCGCCGAACCUAAGCGUUCCGAGAUACCCUGAAGGCGAGUACUCAUUCUGCAGCUUGGAGGGCAUCACCGAGCCACAGGCUGAGAAGGGCCGGUGGCCUCAACCUCCAGUCGUGGGACAGAAAAUUCUCCUUCAUCCAAGACAACCUGCUUGGCAAGGGCUCGGCCUCCCUAGGCUGAAAAUUAUAUCUGCUUUCCCUUUGUACCUCCCACUGGUGUGCCAAGAUCUACUCCUCCAGAAAGCUUAUCUUAUACUUAAUUUAACCAGCCUUGUGGAAAGUCUUUUUAGCUCCAGCUCUGACCCUAUGUUGCAGUUAACAUCCCCAAAGAAUAGAAUGAGAGUUAUGACCCUGUGGAAUGAAGGAGGGGAGAUGCACAUCACUUGGUGCCCGCCUGCCUGGUGUGCUACCUUAUCUUAUUCUUCACCAUUUUCCUGUGCUUGUGUAAGAACUGACCCUAUCUGAUAAAGCAAGAAGCAGCCAGGCACCCCCCCCCCCCAAAAAAAGGGACUUGCCUAGACAGUCAGGAUUUAACACUUCAAACUCCCAAGGUCUCAGCCGCAGUCACACAGCUGUCUAAGGACUGAAAUACGGAGCAGGGUCAAUAUACUUUCUCUUUGCCUGUGUCCUCUUAUCUGCAGAGAUGGAGGUCAAUUAAAAAGUAUUGAACACCCCUACCCACUACGUGCUGAAAUUAUAAUGGCAGGGUUUUUUUCCAAUGUACUGUGAGCUUUGUUGGCAGCAUUAAUGUAGGUGUUAUUUUCUCGAUGCAGAUUACUUGGCUCACCACCAUCGCAAAAUGGAGGGAAGAUAUAAUUAUAUGUACUUAAAACAUCCUGCCAAACAAUUAAAUGCCAUGACUUAACUUCUGAAGGAAUGAAUUCUAGGAAGAGGCUCUUACUAGCAUUCAGGCAAUGAGAUGUCUACAUGGAUGAAGCCUGGAACGUUACCUAACUUCUGAGUCUCAGCUUUCUCAUCUGAAAAGUGGAAAUAACUGUAAUAGCUGAAUAAUUCAUAUUUUUUGAGAAUUAAAUGAAGUUAUAAAUGUCUAACACCAAAAUAGUAUAUAAUAAAUAGUAAGUGUUACAUAUUUUAA
Heterocephalus glaber (naked mole-rat) is the source of this 1703-nucleotide non-coding RNA. Lineage: Eukaryota; Metazoa; Chordata; Mammalia; Rodentia; Bathyergidae. The record is from RefSeq and is a predicted model, not a curated record.